This is a long non-coding RNA of Equus caballus (horse), 249 nucleotides long. RefSeq lists it as uncharacterized. The record is from RefSeq and is a predicted model, not a curated record. NCBI's taxonomy places the organism in Eukaryota, Metazoa, Chordata, Mammalia, Perissodactyla, Equidae.
CACAAUUAGUAAAUGGAAAAACCAGGAUUUGAACCCAGGCCUCCCACCUCCAGGGCUCCGACCCUGGCUCCAAGUCACUCUAUUAUAUGGCCUCUUUCAUCUUUAAAAUGAGAACGAUACCAACUAUCUCACAGGUCCUGAUGCCUGCAAACUGCCCUGGUGCUUCUUGGGGCUUCCUGAGGCUUGAAUGCUCAUUUGUUAAAUUCUGUUAUUCAACAUCCUUCAAAUAAACAUCUUUUUUCUUCUUAA